AUACCCGGGUAGUCCUAGCUGUAAACAUUGCCCAUUUGAUGUUGCUUUUCCGUUGAGGGAAGGCAGUGUCGGAGCGAAGGUGUUAAAUGGGCCGCUUUGGGAAGUAUGGUCGCAAGACUGAAACUUAAAGGAAUUGGCGGGGGAGCACCGCAACGGGAGGAAUGUGCGGUUUAAUUGGAUUCAACGCCGGAAAACUCACCGGGAACGACCUGUGCAUGAGAGUCAACCUGACGAGCUUACUCGAUAGCAGGAGAGGUGGUGCAUGGCCGUCGUCAGCUCGUACCGUAGGGCGUUCACUUAAGUGUGAUAACGAGCGAGACCCACAUCUUUAAUUGCAAAUGUAUAUGAGAAUAUGCAUGCACUUUAGAGAAACCGCCAGCGCUAAGCUGGAGGAAGGAGUGGUCGACGGCAGGUCAGUACGCCCCGAAUUUCCCGGGCUACACGCGCAUUACAAAGAACGGGACAAUACGUUGCAACCUCGAAAGAGGAAGCUAAUCGCGAAACCCGUCCAUAGUUAGGAUUGAGGGCUGUAACUCGCCCUCAUGAAUCUGGAUUCCGUAGUAAUCGCGGGUCAACAACCCG
RNAcentral lists this ribosomal RNA (582 nucleotides) under uncultured bacterium. RNAcentral describes it as "bacterial SSU rRNA". It matches the Rfam family "Archaeal small subunit ribosomal RNA", at positions 733 to 1315 of the family's 1478-position model. The record is from RNAcentral.